GCUUGUAUCUCUAUUAUGCAAUCAUGUAGGGGACUUGUGGGGAAUGCUUUGGGUUGUCGUAUGCAAUCAUCAAAUUCAAUAACGUUAGGAAAAUCUGAAGGUUAAUUUAAGCGGACCUAAUUAACUUGGGGCGUUGAGAAUUCAUGGGUUAUUGAAAAGCAAUUGGAAAUCGUUUUGAAUGCAAGUAUAACAUGUGUGGAGAUGAACCCCUUAGCUAGCUUACCAUCCAUUCAUUUAAACCAAAUUCGUUUUAAAAUCUGUUUUGAUUUACAAGUUUAUAUUUUGUUUUCAAUUUCGUAAAAACCAAAUCCCCCUUUGUUUUCAGUGUCAAAUUAGUUAGAAAGUGUGUUAGUUUGUGUUUUUAAGUGUUUUGAGUCAAGUUAAAACCUAUUUUCGUCAAAAUCUUGUUUAGAGUUCAAAACUGCCCAGAAAGUGGUUUUAAGGCAGUUUUGAGUGUUUUUGUGUUAUUUUGAGUCUUUUGGUUUGUUUUGGUGUUUUAAGUUAUAGUUUUACAUUCUUUGAGUCUAGUUAGUGUUUUAAACUUGUUUUUACGUUUUUGAGUCAAUUCCAAGUGAUUUUGCAAUCCCUCCUAAUCCCCGGCCUAGAACGAUCCCUACUUACGUAUUUUGCUACAAUUGAUAAAAAGAGGGUUUAAUUUGUGUGCUUAUAUAUUUCGCAUCAACAAGCCAAUUAAAUCGCAUAAAUAUGCUCCUAUCAAGAGUUUAGUUUUGUAUUCUUUGAGUCUAGUUUAGUGUUUUAAACUUUGUUUUACAUAUUUGAGUCAGUUUAGAGUGUUUUAGCAAUCCCUCCUAAUCCCCGGUUU
RNAcentral lists this long non-coding RNA (823 nucleotides) under Malus domestica (apple). Its description in RNAcentral is "long non-coding RNA (MDOM_LNC020907)". The record is from RNAcentral. Lineage: Eukaryota; Viridiplantae; Streptophyta; Magnoliopsida; Rosales; Rosaceae.